GUUCGUGGAAGUUUUUGCCCUUCUUCCUCUGGAGGAGUUUCUUGACCUGAAAGAGGAGGACAAGAAGGACGCAAAGAAGGAGGAAGAAGAGAAAAAGCGUAGGUAUAGGAAGAUCCCCAAAACGUUUGCGAACUGGCUACGGGCAUUUUGUAUAUUGGCCAGUGUUAUCGGGGAAAAAUUCCCCGACCGCUGCUCACAACUUUUUUGUUAUCUGGACGGGAUUGGGGACGCGUACCGAACAUACGG
Molecule: non-coding RNA, 246 nt
Organism: Pelobates cultripes (western spadefoot toad)
Lineage: Eukaryota; Metazoa; Chordata; Amphibia; Anura; Pelobatidae
Source: the annotation of a GenBank genome assembly